RNAcentral lists this ribosomal RNA (877 nucleotides) under uncultured bacterium. RNAcentral's name for it is "bacterial SSU rRNA". It matches the Rfam family "Bacterial small subunit ribosomal RNA", at positions 574 to 1451 of the family's 1533-position model. The record is from RNAcentral.
GGCGGUUAGAUAANUCUGAAGUUAAAGGCUGUGGCUUAACCAUAGUACGCUUUGGAAACUGUUUAACUUGAGUGCAGAAGGGGAGAGUGGAAUUCCAUGUGUAGCGGUGAAAUGCGUAGAUAUAUGGAGGAACACCGGUGGCGAAAGCGGCUCUCUGGUCUGUAACUGACGCUGAGGCUCGAAAGCGUGGGGAGCGAACAGGAUUAGAUACCCUGGUAGUNCACGCCGUAAACGAUGAGUGCUAGGUGUUAGGCCCUUUCCGGGGCUUAGUGCCGCAGCUAACGCAUUAAGCACUCCGCCUGGGGAGUACGACCGCAAGGUUGAAACUCAAAGGAAUUGACGGGGGCCCGCACAAGCGGUGGAGCAUGAGGUUUAAUUCGAAGCAACGCGAAGAACCUUACCAGGUCUUGACAUCCCGAUGCCCGCUCUAGAGAUAGAGUUUUACUUCGGUACAUCGGUGACAGGUGGUGCAUGGUUGUCGUCAGCUCGUGUCGUGAGAUGUUGGGUUAAGUCCCGCAACGAGCGCAACCCUUAUUGUUAGUUGCCAUCAUUCAGUUGGGCACUCUAGCGAGACUGCCGGUAAUAAACCGGAGGAAGGUGGGGAUGACGUCAAAUCAUCAUGCCCCUUAUGACCUGGGCUACACACGUGCUACAAUGGCUGGUACAACGAGUCGCAAGUCGGUGACGGCAAGCUAAUCUCUUAAAGCCAGUCUCAGUUCGGAUUGUAGGCUGCAACUCGCCUACAUGAAGUCGGAAUCGCUAGUAAUCGCGGAUCAGCACGCCGCGGUGAAUACGUUCCCGGGCCUUGUACACACCGCCCGUCACACCACGAGAGUUUGUAACACCCGAAGUCGGUGAGGUANCCUUUUAGGAGCCA